This is a long non-coding RNA of Xenia sp. Carnegie-2017, 257 nucleotides long. RefSeq lists it as uncharacterized. The transcript has 3 exons. The record is from RefSeq and is a predicted model, not a curated record. NCBI's taxonomy places the organism in Eukaryota, Metazoa, Cnidaria, Anthozoa, Malacalcyonacea, Xeniidae.
UCAACGCCAGAGUACAUGGCGUUGUUAUGUUGGUGCUUAGUAUAAGUCCACAUGAGAAGAAAGCUCAUGUAAAAGAAGACGAACUAUUUAAGAAAAGAAUCGAAGAAUACAGAUAUAUAUCCUAUCCAUCAACGAAAGAGUCACUGAAAGUCUGAAAGCAGUUGUCUAGAUAAGUUUGAACAUUUACACAUUUAUGUUAUAACGAUUAUAUCAAAAUUAUUAGUAUAUUAAAUAAAUAUUUUAAGAAUUGACAACAA